AACGAACGCUGGCGGCAUGCCUAACACAUGCAAGUCGAACGAGACCUUCGGGUCUAGUGGCGCACGGGUGCGUAACGCGUGGGAACCUGCCCUUAGGUUCGGAAUAACUCCCCGAAAGGGGUGCUAAUACCGGAUAAUGUCUUCGGACCAAAGAUUUGUCGCCUUUGGAUGGGCCCGCGUUGGAUUAGCUAGUUGGUAGGGUAAAAGCCUACCAAGGCGACGAUCCAUAGCUGGUCUGAGAGGAUGAUCAGCCACACUGGGACUGAGACACGGCCCAGACUCCUACAGGAGGCAGCAGUGGGGAAUAUUGGACGAUGGGCGAAAGCCUGAUCCAGCAAUGCCGCGUGAGUGAUGAAGGCCUUAGGGUUGUAGCUCUUUUACCCGGGAUGAUAAUGACAGUACCGGGAGAAGAAGCUCCGGCUAACUCCGUG
RNAcentral lists this ribosomal RNA (431 nucleotides) under uncultured bacterium. RNAcentral's name for it is "partial 16S ribosomal RNA". It matches the Rfam family "Bacterial small subunit ribosomal RNA", at positions 29 to 507 of the family's 1533-position model. The record is from RNAcentral.